This is a long non-coding RNA of Anopheles coluzzii, 464 nucleotides long. RefSeq lists it as uncharacterized. NCBI's taxonomy places the organism in Eukaryota, Metazoa, Arthropoda, Insecta, Diptera, Culicidae. The transcript has 2 exons. The record is from RefSeq and is a predicted model, not a curated record.
AGGAUUAAGUAGAUGCCGGGGAAGAAGAAAAAAAGGAAGAGGAAGAAAGAGAAAACUUUCCAUUUUAGUAAUCACAUCACAUCACCACACACCAACACACACAAGCACCACACAGCCAGACACGCGCGCACGAUUCAACGAUUUCCCCGGUAACGCAGUGGUAGCGCGGGAGGGAAGAAAGUUGCUUAGAUUGCACAAUCUAGCAGAGACAGUCUGCUAAUCUGCUUUGCCUCUCGACCACUCUCGAUCGGUCCUUCACAUCCACCAGUUUUGGUACCGUCCGGAAAUCGGAACCACUUCCACAGGCGAGCAAGGAUCACGAACAGCCCAAGCCACACAAGGAUCAACGAGUUAUAUCACGAUGAAGAAGGAGGGCGUUCGUGCAUCCCCACACGGUGCCAGCAACACUCACCGUUAAUCCACCGAACUGUACCACACACACGGGCACACACGCUACUGGGAGG